AAAGUGAUGGAAACCAUGUUAAAGGAUAGGAUUGUUGAACAUCUAAAAACACAUGGAUUUUAAGAUCAGAGACAACAUGGGUUUACUUCAGGGAGAUCAUGCCAAACUAAUCUUAUUGAUUUUUUUGAUUGGGUAACUAAAAUUAUAGAUCAGGGUGGUGCAGUAGACAUUGCUUACCUAGAUUUCAGUAAGGCUUUUGACACUGUUGCACAUAGAAGGCUUAUCAAUGAACUGCAAUCUUUAAG
Molecule: non-coding RNA, 245 nt
Organism: Pelobates cultripes (western spadefoot toad)
Lineage: Eukaryota; Metazoa; Chordata; Amphibia; Anura; Pelobatidae
Source: the annotation of a GenBank genome assembly